GUGGUUGUUGCUGGCCCUCUCGGGGGCAUGUGCACACCCACCAUCCUCAUCUCUCCACCUGUGCACCUCUUGUAGACCUGGAUUGACUUUCCGAGGCAACUCGGUCUGGAAGAUUGCUGCGCUCUGUGAGCCAGCUUUCUUUGCAUGUCCAGGCCUAUGUUUUUCAUAUACCCCUAUAGAAUGUAACAGAAUGUAUCAUUGGGCCUUGUGCCUAUAAACCUUAUACAACUUUCAGCAACGGAUCUCUUGGCUCUCGCAUCGAUGAAGAACGCAGCGAAAUGCGAUAAGUAAUGUGAAUUGCAGAAUUCAGUGAAUCAUCGAAUCUUUGAACGCACCUUGCGCUCCUUGGUAUUCCGAGGAGCAUGCCUGUUUGAGUGUCAUUAAAUUCUCAACCUUAUUAACUUUUGUUGAUAAUGGAUUGGAUUGUGGGGGUUUCUUUUGCUGGCUUCUUCACAGAGAUCAGCUCCCCUUAAAUGCAUUAGCUGGUGCCCCGCGUGGACCAUCUAUUGGUGUGAUAAUUAUCUACGCCGUGGAUGUCUGCAAUCAUAUGGGUUUCGCACUGCUUCUAACCGUCUGUUCAUUCGGACAAUACAUGACAAUUUGACCUCAAAUCAGGUAGGACUACCCGCUGAACUUAAGCAUAUCAAUAAGCGGAGGAAAAGAAACUAACAAGGAUUCCCCUAGUAACUGCGAGUGAAGCGGGAAAAGCUCAAAUUUAAAAUCUGGCGGUCUCCGGCCGUCCGAGUUGUAAUCUAGAGAAGUGUUAUCCGCGCUGGA
Molecule: ribosomal RNA, 777 nt
Filed under: Alnicola umbrina
Lineage: Eukaryota; Fungi; Basidiomycota; Agaricomycetes; Agaricales; Hymenogastraceae
Description: eukaryotic LSU rRNA
Rfam family: 5.8S ribosomal RNA (bases 227-380)
Source: RNAcentral